CCCACCUCCUCCAUCCAGGCCCCCUCCCGGUCCGCCAUACCAGCCACCAGCACCUGUGCCUAGACCUCCACCCCAACGUCCUUCCCUUCGGCCACCACCUGCAUACCAGCCACCAGGACUACCUGUGCCGAGACCACCGCCUCCUCCAGGGCCUACGCCUUUCCCAAGGCCACCG
Molecule: long non-coding RNA, 175 nt
Organism: Rhipicephalus microplus (southern cattle tick)
Lineage: Eukaryota; Metazoa; Arthropoda; Arachnida; Ixodida; Ixodidae
Source: RefSeq, a predicted model, not a curated record